AUUUGUUAAUCCUCCUCCGUGCGUC
This 25-nucleotide microRNA is filed under the name Bombyx mori (domestic silkworm). RNAcentral's name for it is "bmo-miR-3358". Lineage: Eukaryota; Metazoa; Arthropoda; Insecta; Lepidoptera; Bombycidae. The record is from miRBase by way of RNAcentral.